This 118-nucleotide small RNA is filed under the name Marmota monax (woodchuck). Lineage: Eukaryota; Metazoa; Chordata; Mammalia; Rodentia; Sciuridae. The record is from RNAcentral.
GCCGGAUGUGGUGGUGCAUGCCUGUAAUCCCAACAGCUGGGAGGCUGAGGCAGGAGGAUCGCAAGUUCAAAGCCUGUCUCAGCGAGGUCCUAAGCAACUCAGUGAGACCCUGUCUCAA